Molecule: unclassified non-coding RNA, 244 nt
Filed under: Hevea brasiliensis (rubber tree)
Lineage: Eukaryota; Viridiplantae; Streptophyta; Magnoliopsida; Malpighiales; Euphorbiaceae
Source: RNAcentral
GGCGGUUGGAAAUCUUCCUACCAAAAGAAUGGUGGUGCUGGUGGUUCUGAUGCUUCUAGGGAAGGACAGUGGGGUGGUGCCUCCAAGGGGUCCAGCUGGGGCAAUGAUGGUUCCGUUGCUAAUGUUGGAGGUCCGUCAGUAAAAGAGACUGUUCCGGCUUCGAGUGGUGCUUGGGGCGCAGGUGGCUGGGGCAAUGGAGGUUCUGUUGCAAAUAUUGGAGGUCCAUCAGCAAAAGAGACUGUUU